CGGCGUGCCUAACACAUGCAAGUCGUACGAGAAAGGCCGGCUUCGGCUGGUGAGUAAAGUGGCGCACGGGUGAGUAACGCGUGGAUAAUCUGCCCUUAAGUGUGGAAUAACGUACCGAAAGGUGCGCUAAUACCGCAUAAUGCCUGGCAACACAAGUUGUCCGGCCAAAGAAGGCCUCUGUUUACAAGCUUUCGCUUCAGGAUGAGUCCGCGUACCAUUAGCUUGUUGGUGGGGUAAUGGCCUACCAAGGCUGCGAUGGUUAGCUGGUCUGAGAGGAUGAUCAGCCACACUGGAACUGAGACACGGUCCAGACUCCUACGGGAGGCAGCAGUGAGGAAUAUUGCGCAAUGGGGGCAACCCUGACGCAGCAACGCCGCGUGAGUGAGGAAGGUUUUCGGACUGUAAAGCUCUGUCGAGCGGGAAGAAGUGUACCAUGGCUAAUAUCCAUGAUAUUUGACGGUACCGCUAGAGGAAGCACCGGCUAACUCCGUG
RNAcentral lists this ribosomal RNA (492 nucleotides) under uncultured bacterium. RNAcentral's name for it is "bacterial SSU rRNA". It matches the Rfam family "Bacterial small subunit ribosomal RNA", at positions 40 to 507 of the family's 1533-position model. The record is from RNAcentral.